GCACUGGGUCACAGCUGCACCCUUGGUUUGUAAACGGCAUGUAUCCCUGUACAGCAUGUGUUCUGCACUGUUCUGCAAAUACUACACACAAUUAUUAUACGACGGCACAAACAGAGUUCCGCAGAGUUCUGCACGUUCUGCAAGUUCCGCAAAAUACCCACACCC
This 165-nucleotide long non-coding RNA is filed under the name Patiria miniata (bat star). RNAcentral's name for it is "uncharacterized LOC119722278". The record is from RNAcentral. Lineage: Eukaryota; Metazoa; Echinodermata; Asteroidea; Valvatida; Asterinidae.